RNAcentral lists this ribosomal RNA (253 nucleotides) under uncultured bacterium. Its description in RNAcentral is "partial 16S ribosomal RNA". It matches the Rfam family "Bacterial small subunit ribosomal RNA", at positions 524 to 776 of the family's 1533-position model. The record is from RNAcentral.
UACAGAGGUCUCGAGCGUUGUUCGGAUUCAUUGGGCGUAAAGGGCGCGUAGGCGGCGGGGUAAGUCUGGUGUGAAAUCUAGGAGCUCAACUCCUAAACUGCACUGGAUACUGCUCUGCUGGAGGACUGGAGAGGAGACUGGAAUUCACGGUGUAGCAGUGAAAUGCGUAGAUAUCGUGAGGAAGACCAGUGGCGAAGGCGGGUCUCUGGACAGUUCCUGACACUGAGACACGAAGGCCAGGGGAGCAAACGGG